This 229-nucleotide ribosomal RNA is filed under the name uncultured bacterium. RNAcentral describes it as "partial 16S ribosomal RNA". It matches the Rfam family "Bacterial small subunit ribosomal RNA", at positions 1272 to 1500 of the family's 1533-position model. The record is from RNAcentral.
CCCUAAAAAGACAGUCUCAGUUCGGAUCGCAGGCUGCAACUCGCCUGCAUGAAGACGGAAUUGCUAGUAAUCGCGGAUCAGCAUGCCGCGGUGAAUACGUUCCCGGGUCUUGUACACACCGCCCGUCACACCAUGGGAGUCGGAAAUGCCCGAAGUCAGUGACCCAACCGCAAGGAGGGAGCUGCCGAAGGUGGAGCCGGUAACUGGGGUGAAGUCGUAACAAGGUAGC